Molecule: ribosomal RNA, 524 nt
Filed under: uncultured bacterium
Lineage: Bacteria
Description: partial 16S ribosomal RNA
Rfam family: Bacterial small subunit ribosomal RNA
Source: RNAcentral
GACGAACGCUGGCGGCGUGCUUAACACAUGCAAGUCGAACGAGACGAUUGAAAGCUUGCUUUCGAAAGUCGAGUGGCAAACGGGUGAGUAACGCGUAGACAACCUGCCUUUGAGAUGGGGACAACAGUUCGAAAGGACUGCUAAUACCGAAUGUUGUAUAUUUUCCACAUGGAAGAUAUAUUAAAGAUGGCCUCUAUUUAUAAGCUAUCGCUCAAAGAUGGGUCUGCGUCUGAUUAGCUGGUUGGUGGGGUAACGGCCUACCAAGGCGACGAUCAGUAGCCGGUCUGAGAGGAUGAACGGCCACAUUGGGACUGGGACACGGCCCAGACUCCUACGGGAGGCAGCAGUGGGGAAUCUUCCACAAUGGACGAAAGUCUGAUGGAGCAACGCCGCGUGAGUGAAGAAGGGUUUCGGCUCGUAAAGCUCUGUUGUCGGGGACGAAUGUGCAGUAUUUGAAUAAAGUAGUGCAAUGACGGUACCUGACGAGGAAGCCACGGCUAACUACGUGCCAGCCGCCGCCGUAA